Molecule: unclassified non-coding RNA, 297 nt
Filed under: uncultured fungus
Lineage: Eukaryota; Fungi
Description: partial contains small subunit ribosomal RNA, internal transcribed spacer 1, and 5.8S ribosomal RNA
Rfam family: Eukaryotic small subunit ribosomal RNA (bases 1-73)
Source: RNAcentral
GCAAACUUGGUCAUUUAGAGGAAGUAAAAGUCGUAACAAGGUUUCCGUAGGUGAACCUGCGGAAGGAUCAUUAAUGAAAAAGGAUAUUGUAUUCUCAAUCCCCUUUCGAGUACAUGUAUGUGUUGCUUCCGCGAGUCAUGAGUCUUUGGCUUCUACUCCUCACCAAUUGGUGAGGUGCUUGCGGAAGGCUGUCUCAAAAUCUGUAUUGUUGAAUUUGGUCUGAGUGAUUGUAGUGCAAUAAAAGUUAAAACUUUCAACAACGGAUCUCUUGGUUCUCGCAUCGAUGAAGAACGCAGC